AUGAACGCUGGCGGCGUGCCUAAUACAUGCAAGUCGAGCGAACGGACGAGAAGCUUGCUUCUCUGAUGUUAGCGGCGGACGGGUGAGUAACACGUGGAUAACCUACCUAUAAGACUGGGAUAACUUCGGGAAACCGGAGCUAAUACCGGAUAAUAUUUUGAACCGCAUGGUUCAGAAGUGAAAGACGGUCUUGCUGUCACUUAUAGAUGGAUCCGCGCUGCAUUAGCUAGUUGGUAAGGUAACGGCUUACCAAGGCAACGAUGCAUAGCCGACCUGAGAGGGUGAUCGGCCACACUGGAACUGAGACACGGUCCAGACUCCUACGGGAGGCAGCAGUAGGGAAUCUUCCGCAAUGGGCGAAAGCCUGACGGAGCAACGCCGCGUGAGUGAUGAAGGUCUUCGGAUCGUAAAACUCUGUUAUUAGGGAAGAACAUAUGUGUAAGUAACUGUGCACAUCUUGACGGUACCUAAUCAGAAAGCCACGGCUAACUACGUG
RNAcentral lists this ribosomal RNA (496 nucleotides) under uncultured bacterium. RNAcentral describes it as "partial 16S ribosomal RNA". It matches the Rfam family "Bacterial small subunit ribosomal RNA", at positions 29 to 507 of the family's 1533-position model. The record is from RNAcentral.